CGAGCGAACGGAUGAAGUGCUUGCACUUCUGACGUUAGCGGCGAACGGGUGAGUAACACGUAAGGAAUCUACCUAUAAGCGGGGGAUAACAUUCGGAAACGGGUGCUAAUACCGCAUAAUAUCUUCUUCCGCAUGGAAGAAGAUUGAAAGACGGCUCUGCUGUCACUUAUAGAUGACCUUGCGGUGCAUUAGUUAGUUGGUGGGGUAACGGCCUACCAAGACGAUGAUGCAUAGCCGACCUGAGAGGGUGAUCGGCCACAUUGGGACUGAGACACGGCCCAAACUCCUACGGGAGGCAGCAGUAGGGAAUCUUCCGCAAUGGGCGAAAGCCUGACGGAGCAAUGCCGCGUGAGUGAAGAAGGCCUUCGGGUCGUAAAACUCUGUUAUAAGAGAAGAACAAAUUGUAGAGUAACUGCUACAGUCUUGACGGUAUCUUAUCAGAAAGCCACGGCUAACUACGUGCCAGCAGCCGCGGUAAUACGUAGGUGGCAAGCGUUGUCCGGAUUUAUUGGGCGUAAAGGGAGCGCAGGUGGUUUCUUAAGUCUGAUGUGAAAAGCCCACGGCUUAACCGUGGAGGGUCAUUGGAAACUGGGAAACUUGAGUACAGAAGAGGAAUGUGGAACUCCAUGUGUAGCGGUGGAAUGCGUAGAUAUAUGGAAGAACACCAGUGGCGAAGGCGACAUUCCUGGUCUGUUACUGACACUGAGGCUCG
This 712-nucleotide ribosomal RNA is filed under the name Aerococcus sp. Z16-SB-E14. Its description in RNAcentral is "bacterial SSU rRNA". It matches the Rfam family "Bacterial small subunit ribosomal RNA", at positions 63 to 755 of the family's 1533-position model. Lineage: Bacteria; Bacillati; Bacillota; Bacilli; Lactobacillales; Aerococcaceae. The record is from RNAcentral.